RNAcentral lists this ribosomal RNA (236 nucleotides) under uncultured bacterium. Its description in RNAcentral is "partial 16S ribosomal RNA". It matches the Rfam family "Bacterial small subunit ribosomal RNA", at positions 118 to 347 of the family's 1533-position model. The record is from RNAcentral.
UGAGGAACAUGACCUUCGGCGGGGGAUAGCCGGCCCAACGGCCGGGUAAUACCGCGUACGACCACAUGGGGACAUCCCUGAGUGGUGAAAGCAGCAAUGCGCCGAUGGAGUGCCUCGCGGCCUAUCAGCUAGUUGGUGAGGUAACGGCUCACCAAGGCUUCGACGGGUAGCCGGCCUGAGAGGGCGACCGGCCACACUGGGACUGAGAUACCGGCCCAGACCUCCGUACGGGGAGG